GGGGAAGUAGCUCAGUUGGGAGAGCGCGUCGUUCGCAAUGACGAGGUCGGGAGUUCGAUUCUCCUCUUCUCCACCA
This 76-nucleotide transfer RNA is filed under the name Pollutimonas bauzanensis. RNAcentral's name for it is "Candidimonas bauzanensis tRNA_Ala_CGC". It matches the Rfam family "tRNA". From Rfam's summary of the family: Transfer RNA (tRNA) molecules are approximately 80 nucleotides in length. Their secondary structure includes four short double-helical elements and three loops (D, anti-codon, and T loops). Further hydrogen bonds mediate the characteristic L-shaped molecular structure. tRNAs have two regions of fundamental functional importance: the anti-codon, which is responsible for specific mRNA codon recognition, and the 3' end, to which the tRNAs corresponding amino acid is attached (by aminoacyl-tRNA synthetases). tRNAs cope with the degeneracy of the genetic code in two manners: having more than one tRNA (with a specific anti-codon) for a particular amino acid; and 'wobble' base-pairing, i.e. permitting non-standard base-pairing at the 3rd anti-codon position. Lineage: Bacteria; Pseudomonadati; Pseudomonadota; Betaproteobacteria; Burkholderiales; Alcaligenaceae. The record is from RNAcentral. RNAcentral also lists the same sequence under 1 other name.